CCAGCUCUCCGAGUAGUAAGGAUGUUUAUUGGGCUUAAAGCGUCCGUAGCCGGCUCAGCAAGUCCUCCGUUAAAUCCAGCGAUUUAAUCGUUGGCCUGCGGGGGAUACUGUUGAGCUAGGGGACGGGAGAGGCCGACGGUAUAUCCGGAGUAGGGGUGAAAUCCUAUAAUUCCGGGAGGACCACCAGUGGCGAAGG
This 196-nucleotide ribosomal RNA is filed under the name uncultured crenarchaeote. RNAcentral describes it as "partial 16S ribosomal RNA". It matches the Rfam family "Archaeal small subunit ribosomal RNA", at positions 476 to 672 of the family's 1478-position model. Lineage: Archaea; Thermoproteati; Thermoproteota. The record is from RNAcentral.